Molecule: ribosomal RNA, 252 nt
Filed under: uncultured bacterium
Lineage: Bacteria
Description: partial 16S ribosomal RNA
Rfam family: Bacterial small subunit ribosomal RNA
Source: RNAcentral
UACGUAGGGUGCAAGCGUUAAUCGGAAUUACUGGGCGUAAAGCGUGCGCAGGCGGCUUUGCAAGACAGAUGUGAAAUCCCCGGGCUAACCUGGGAACUGCAUUUGUGACUGCAUGGCUGGAGUGCGGCAGAGGGGGAUGGAAUUCCGCGUGUAGCAGUGAAAUGCGUAGAUAUGCGGAGGAACACCGAUGGCGAAGGCAAUCCCCUGGGCCUGCACUGACGCUCAUGCACGAAAGCGUGGGGAGCAAACAGG